GAUGAAGAACGUAGCGAAAUGCGAUAAGUAGUGUGAAUUGCAGAAUUCAGUGAAUCAUCGAAUCUUUGAACGCACAUUGCGCCCCUUGGUAUUCCGGGGGGCAUAUCUGUUCGAGCGUCUCCAGGACGAAUCCUCGCGCGAGUGAACGCGCGGUCGUGGCGGAGGUGGCGUGCCCGAGCAGGGCGGCCACCGCGCUGGAAUCCAUGGGCGGACGCCUGCCGCGUGGCCGAGCGUGAUAUGACGCAUUGGCGCUCGUGCGCGGCGAGGCUGCCAGCCCUGGCCCGUCUGUCGGGCGGGGUAGAUCAACACGUGGGAACUCCUCGAAUCAGGUAGGGAUACCCGCUGAACUUAAGCAUAUCAAUAAGCGGAGGA
Molecule: unclassified non-coding RNA, 372 nt
Filed under: soil metagenome
Description: partial contains 5.8S ribosomal RNA, internal transcribed spacer 2, and large subunit ribosomal RNA
Rfam family: 5.8S ribosomal RNA (bases 1-120)
Source: RNAcentral